AACGCACAUUGCGCCCGCUGGUAUUCCGGCGGGCAUGCCCGUUCGAGCGUCAUUUCAAUUCCUUCCCAGGAGGGAGCCACUGUUUCCACAGAGGUUUCUACCAGGGGUGUUGGCACCUGGCGCCGCCUAGGCGACCGGAGCCCAAAUGCAGUGGCGGACGUGCAAGCGGUCCCUAGCGCAGUAGACAUCAAAAACUUCGCUCAGGAGGCUCGCAGCAGCGGACCACAGCCUAACGCAAAAAGCUUUUUUUGUUUUUUGCAGCAAAAACUUGACCUCGAAUCGGGUAGGACUACCCGCUGAACUUAA
This 306-nucleotide unclassified non-coding RNA is filed under the name uncultured fungus. RNAcentral describes it as "partial contains 5.8S ribosomal RNA, internal transcribed spacer 2, and large subunit ribosomal RNA". Lineage: Eukaryota; Fungi. The record is from RNAcentral.